CUUUGGGUGUGACUGCGUACCUUUUGUAUAAUGGGUCAGCGACUUAUAUUCUGUAGCAAGGUUAACCGAAUAGGGGAGCCGGAGGGAAACCGAGUCUUAAUUGGGCGUUAAGUUGCAGGGUAUAGACCCGAAACCCGGUGAUCUAGCCAUGGGCAGGUUGAAGGUUGGGUAACACUAACUGGAGGACCGAACCGACUAAUGUUGAAAAAUUAGCGGAUGACCUGUGGCUGGGGGUGAAAGGCCAAUCAAACCGGGAGAUAGCUGGUUCUCCCCGAAAGCUAUUUAGGUAGCGCCUCGUGAAUUCAUCUCCGGGGGUAGAGCACUGUUUCGGCUAGGGGGCCAUCCCGGCUUACCAACCCGAUGCAAACUGCGAAUACCGGAGAAUGUUAUCACGGGAGACACACGGCGGGUGCUAACGUCCGUCGUGAAGAGGGAAACAACCCAGACCGCCAGCUAAGGUCCCAAAGUCAUGGUUAAGUGGGAAACGAUGUGGGAAGGCCCAGACAGCCAGGAUGUUGGCUUAGAAGCAGCCAUCAUUUAAAGAAAGCGUAAUAGCUCACUGGUCGAGUCGGCCUGCGCGGAAGAUGUAACGGGGCUAAACCAUGCACCGAAGCUGCGGCAGCGACACUGUGUGUUGUUGGGUAGGGGAGCGUUCUGUAAGCCUGCGAAGGUGGCCUGUGAGGGUUGCUGGAGGUAUCAGAAGUGCGAAUGCUGACAUAAGUAACGAUAAAGCGGGUGAAAAGCCCGCUCGCCGGAAGACCAAGGGUUCCUGUCCAACGUUAAUCGGGGCAGGGUGAGUCGACCCCUAAGGCGAGGCCGAAAGGCGUAGUCGAUGGGAAACGGGUUAAUAUUCCCGUACUUGGUGUUACUGCGAAGGGGGGACGGAGAAGGCUAUGUUGGCCGGGCGACGGUUGUCCCGGUUUAAGCGUGUAGGUGUGUGUUCCAGGUAAAUCCGGUUCACUUUAACACUGAGGCGUGACGACGAGGCACUACGGUGCUGAAGCAACAAAUGCCCUGCUUCCAGGAAAAGCCUCUAAGCAUCAGGUAACAUCAAAUCGUACCCCAAACCGACACAGGUGGUCAGGUAGAGAAUACCAAGGCGCUUGAGAGAACUCGGGUGAAGGAACUAGGCAAAAUGGUGCCGUAACUUCGGGAGAAGGCACGCUGACACGUAGGUGAAGUGAUUUACUCAUGGAGCUGAAGUCAGUCGAAGAUACCAGCUGGCUGCAACUGUUUAUUAAAAACACAGCACUGUGCAAACACGAAAGUGGACGUAUACGGUGUGACGCCUGCCCGGUGCCGGAAGGUUAAUUGAUGGGGUCAGCGCAAGCGAAGCUCCUGAUCGAAGCCCCGGUAAACGGCGGCCGUAACUAUAACGGUCCUAAGGUAGCGAAAUUCCUUGUCGGGUAAGUUCCGACCUGCACGAAUGGCGUAAUGAUGGCCAGGCUGUCUCCACCCGAGACUCAGUGAAAUUGAACUCGCUGUGAAGAUGCAGUGUACCCGCGGCAAGACGGAAAGACCCCGUGAACCUUUACUAUAGCUUGACACUGAACAUUGAGCCUUGAUGUGUAGGAUAGGUGGGAGGCUUUGAAGUGUGGACGCCAGUCUGCAUGGAGCCGACCUUGAAAUACCACCCUUUAAUGUUUGAUGUUCUAACGUGGACCCGUUACCCGGGUUGCGGACAGUGUCUGGUGGGUAGUUUGACUGGGGCGGUCUCCUCCUAAAGAGUAACGGAGGAGCACGAAGGUUGGCUAAUCCUGGUCGGACAUCAGGAGGUUAGUGCAAUGGCAUAAGCCAGCUUGACUGCGAGCGUGACGGCGCGAGCAGGUGCGAAAGCAGGUCAUAGUGAUCCGGUGGUUCUGAAUGGAAGGGCCAUCGCUCAACGGAUAAAAGGUACUCCGGGGAUAACAGGCUGAUACCGCCCAAGAGUUCAUAUCGACGGCGGUGUUUGGCACCUCGAUGUCGGCUCAUCACAUCCUGGGGCUGAAGUAGGUCCCAAGGGUAUGGCUGUUCGCCAUUUAAAGUGGUACGCGAGCUGGGUUUAGAACGUCGUGAGACAGUUCGGUCCCUAUCUGCCGUGGGCGCUGGAGAACUGAGGGGGGCUGCUCCUAGUACGAGAGGACCGGAGUGGACGCAUCACUGGUGUUCGGGUUGUCAUGCCAAUGGCACUGCCCGGUAGCUAAAUGCGGAAGAGAUAAGUGCUGAAAGCAUCUAAGCACGAAACUUGCCCCGAG
This 2234-nucleotide ribosomal RNA is filed under the name Salmonella enterica subsp. enterica serovar Enteritidis. RNAcentral's name for it is "partial 23S ribosomal RNA". It matches the Rfam family "Bacterial large subunit ribosomal RNA", at positions 583 to 2803 of the family's 2925-position model. The record is from RNAcentral. Lineage: Bacteria; Pseudomonadati; Pseudomonadota; Gammaproteobacteria; Enterobacterales; Enterobacteriaceae.